Molecule: non-coding RNA, 95 nt
Filed under: human gut metagenome
Description: THF riboswitch
Rfam family: THF (Tetrahydrofolate) riboswitch aptamer
About the family: THF riboswitch presents a pseudoknot that joins P1-P2 and the loop of P3 and two THF binding.
Source: RNAcentral
AGAGUAAGAAUAUCGGCGUGAAGUGCCCGGCGGACGGGGAGUUGUCGUUGGGACGAAAAGCAUUUGUGCUUGCGGUUGGUAUUCUGCAUCCCGCU